CCCAGUGCCCUCUUCUAAGCUCUUUAUCAUCAUAAUUUCUGAUGUAAAGAGCAUGAUGCCAUGGACAAAAUGGGCCCUCAGUGACUAUCCGAUGCAGUGCCAGGCACUGAAUGCAGAUGCAUAUACUGGAGCUCAGAGGAUUUCAGUGAGUUACCCCGGCCACAGCCAGUGAGCAGCGAUGUCAAGAUGUCUUGAAUCCUGGGCCUCAGCUGCAAAGCCGUAACCAGUCCUCUGUGUUCCCAUGGGCCAGUGCUUUACAAAGGUCCUUGCAGGAUCAUCCCUAGAAGAUUGUGGUAUUUCUGGCCAUACGCAGGAAAGGUGCCACGGAUGCUCAAGUAUGGGCAUCAGCUACCACCCCAUCUGCUGGUGGUGCUCAUACUUCUCCGGGAUACCUCCCCUCCAGUCUCCUCCACCCCUACAGGGUCAGCACUGCUCUUAAGCCUUGAAGUGUCACAUCUGCAUGGCAGCUGCCAGCAAAAGGGAGAAAAAUCUCUGUAUCCCUUCAGGUGACACUAGUUGCUGUAUGGAUAAACACCUAAAUCUCACUUGGCUGAACACAAUAAAAGUUUAUCUGGUGCUCACA
This is a long non-coding RNA of Pan troglodytes (chimpanzee), 583 nucleotides long. RefSeq lists it as uncharacterized. The record is from RefSeq and is a predicted model, not a curated record. NCBI's taxonomy places the organism in Eukaryota, Metazoa, Chordata, Mammalia, Primates, Hominidae. The transcript is spliced from 3 exons.